Molecule: ribosomal RNA, 460 nt
Filed under: uncultured bacterium
Lineage: Bacteria
Description: partial 16S ribosomal RNA
Rfam family: Bacterial small subunit ribosomal RNA
Source: RNAcentral
CCUACGGUGGGCUGCAGUGAGGAAUGUUGGUCAAUGGUCGGGAGACUGAACCAGCCAAGCCGCGUGAGGGAUGAAGGUACAGAGUAUCGUAAACCUCUUUUGUCAGGGAACAAAGGCGGGGACGUGUCCCCGGAUGAGUGUACCUGAAGAAAAAGCAUCGGCUAACUCCGUGCCAGCAGCCGCGGUAAUACGGAGGAUGCGAGCGUUAUCCGGAUUUACUGGGUGUAAAGGGCGUGUAGGCGGGAAAGCAAGUCAGAUGUGAAAACCAUGGGCUCAACCUGUGGCCUGCAUUUGAAACUGUUGUGCUUGAGUACUGGAGAGGCAGACGGAAUUCCUAGUGUAGCGGUGAAAUGCGUAGAUAUUAGGAGGAACACCAGUGGCGAAGGCGGUCUGCUGGACAGCAACUGACGCUGAGGCGCGAAAGCGUGGGGAGCAAACAGGAUUAGAUACCCUAGUAGUC